This 75-nucleotide transfer RNA is filed under the name Aureispira sp. RNAcentral's name for it is "tRNA-Pro". It matches the Rfam family "tRNA". From Rfam's summary of the family: Transfer RNA (tRNA) molecules are approximately 80 nucleotides in length. The record is from RNAcentral. Lineage: Bacteria; Pseudomonadati; Bacteroidota; Saprospiria; Saprospirales; Saprospiraceae. RNAcentral also lists the same sequence under 1 other name.
AUGGAUAUAGUUCAGUCAGGUCAGAAUGCUACAUUUGGGAUGUAGUGGUCGCAGGUUCGAAUCCUGCUAUCCAUA